Molecule: long non-coding RNA, 8219 nt
Filed under: Homo sapiens (human)
Lineage: Eukaryota; Metazoa; Chordata; Mammalia; Primates; Hominidae
Description: HSALNT0192198
Source: RNAcentral
CUGCCAUCUUACUGUGUGCUCACAUGCCCUCUUCUUUGUGCAUGCUGAGGCAGAGAGAGAGAGUGAACCAAAGUGCAAGCACUUAAGUGAGCCUUCUGGUGUUAGUUCUUAUAAGAACACUAAUCGUGUCAUAUUGGGUCUCUACCCUUAUUACCUCAUUUAACCUUAAUUACCUAUUUAUAAGCCUUAUCUACAAAUACUGUCUCAUUAGGGGUUAGGGCUUCAGCAUAUAAAUUUGGAGGGGACACCAUUCAGUCCAUAGCAUGAUAAUUCCUUCCCCUCUUUUCUUCCUUAAGGCAUUGCACUGAAUUUUCAUCACUAAAUGUGACAGAGGUCCAAAUGCUAUAGCCACAGUGGUUGACCACCAUACUUAAUUCAUUCUAUUCUGUCCUCAUGUGUCUGUUUGCCUUCCUAAGCAGACCAGUGCAAUGGGACCAACAAGCCAUUAGGAUGGAAAAGGCCAUCUAGUGGUGGUUCAAAGCAAGGCCUCUGGAGUCUGGCUGCCUGGGUUUGAAUUCCAGCUCUGCCAUUUACUUAGCCUCCCUCUGUGGGAAUGAACCCACCUGCAAAAUGCAGCAGACUGUGUCCGUCUUCCACCUCUGCACCAACACCAAUUCCUGUGUCAAGUUUCCAACAAAUGGAAAUCAUCGGAAGAGUACCGCCAAGUUCAGUGGUGAUGGUAUUGUGUGAGCGAGUUGGAGCCUAGCCCCUUCCUAAAGAUGAAGGAGGAAGAUGGAGGAUGCACAGGAUAAAAGAAUCUACGAAUUUAUCAUCAGAUGCUUAGAAGUUCCAUGUUCCACAAGGAAAAUGUACACCAGUGGUCAAAAUCCCUUAUGACUUCUCCCCAGAUGACAGCAAGACCUUAUUACUGUGGAAGGGCUUCAAUCCUGUAAAUUAAAUGGCUAUCACUUUUUUUUUCUCAAUAAAGAUAAACUGAGGACAUUUACCUUGAGGGCACCAGAAGCUAAUUUAUAUGUAAAAAGCUGUAUUAAAGAACAACAGUAGCAGCUCUAUGCUACGAAUUGUGCAAAAGUGAUCAAAAAGCAGUGCUGCAGCUAGCAAUUCAGAGGCAGAAUCUUUUUUUCUUGAUGGACUCAGUCAUUACUUUUUUUUAUUUGGUUUUAAAUUCCAAUAUUCUUGGCAUCAUUCCAACAUGCAUUGUUCUAAGAAAAUAUAAAGGGAAUGUCAAAUUAUAAUUUCUUGGAACACUUAAUUUGUCACCAGGAAAGAACAAUGUAACUCUGAGACAGUAGAAGGAUUUACUUCUGGGCCUGUUAAUUUUAGUGAAACUGAAGAAUAAACAUUCAAUGUUAUGACCUUGGGAAAUAUUUCAUUCUCUUUAUUUCAUCCUCAUCUUGAUAUAUAAAUGCCAUAAUUAACAGUUUGGGGUUUAUUUAUUGCAACAAAGCAGAUAUGUGGCACAUGAUUUAAUCUCUAAAAGCAAUUUCAAUUUGGCCUAUUUGUCAUUUAGGGCGUGUGCCCAAUUUAAAAUGAUUUCUGCUUGCUCAAGUCUCUCUUACACACACAUGCUCAGUGAUCAAAUAUUUAGAUUUAUAUAAAGUUCUUGACACUAACAAUAAAAAGGCAGCAUUUAAGUAAACUGCAAAAUGCCAGAAAGGCCUAAGAAACUCAAAUAUAAUAUUGAGGAACAUUGCUAGUAUAGGGAUCAUGGAGAAUAUAUUUUUAUUUUGCUUUGCUGACUAUAUGUACUGAGUUUUCAUAAAUAAAAAGAAGUCAUGUGUCCUAAAAAAAGUCUGUCAAAGUUGGCUGGUUUUAUGUGCAUCACAAUAUUUUAUUUAAUGAGGAACUCAAUUUGAAUUUUGAUUAAAGCAAUUAAUAGAAAGUACGGGCCCUAUUAGGAGUAAUCUGUGGCAAGUUUUUCUGAUUACAAGGAAACAUUCAAUUCAUACAUUUUUAUUCUUACAAAAGAUUCUAGAUAAAGAAAAGUAAAAGAAAAUUAUAAAUAUCAACAAAUAUUAUUUUUUCAAACAUCAUUUUUAUCAUUAGAUGUACCAUUAUUUCAGAUUUAUAGAACAGAUGGUUUAUGAGAACAUUAUACAUCUGAACAUUAAUCCAUUAAAAAUAUUAGCUGGAUUCAUUAAUGUAUACAGCAUCUUUUUCACGUAGAUCAGUUGGAAAGUUUAAAAUAAACAGCACUUGGCACAUAUUAAAACAUAAUAUUAGUUGCAGAUAAUUUUUAGGGUCAAGUUAAUUUUUAGGCUGGUUUAGUUUUCCCUGCACAUCUUCUACAUUUCCUUCGUUGUACUUGUCAAAUUAUAACAAUUGAAUAAUUGUCUAAUUUUUGAUAUGUCUUUUCUGUUAUGUUUUGAACCCCAGGAGAGUUGGAACUGUUUCUCUGUUCACUAAGCUUAAUAUUUAGGCCACUGCUUAAAAGAUAGAGGCGCUCAAUAAAGAUGUGCUUAAUGAAUAUAGGAUUGAAUGAUCUAUACCACGAGUAGGCAAAUUAUGGCUCGAAUCCAGCCUAUUGCCUGUUUUUUACAGCCUUCAUGUGAAGAAUGGUUUUUCCAUAUUUGAAUGGGUUGAUUUUUUCACAUGGUUAAAUAAGUACCUAAAUGAUAGAUUCAAUUUUGCCUCUUGUCCCAUAAAUCCUAAAAUAUUUACUAUCUAAUACUUUAAGAAAAGGUUUUCUGACCCUGGACUAGACAAGCAGUAAGUAAUACAACGGCUGUGAUGAUAAAAAUAUUCUAUAUUUGUGCUGAGCAAUAGGAUAGCCACAAACCACAUGUGGCUAUUGAGCACAUGAAAUUUAUCUAGGAUCACCACACUUUUAAUUUAAUUUUAAUUAAUUUCAAUAAUUCUAUGUGGCCAGUAGCUAGUGUGUCAGACAUCAGCAGAUCUAGAUAUGUAAAAGAAUAGCUUCAUGUAAAGACAGUAAACAAUUACCUGAAGCUCAACUCUGUACAAGGAAAAAUGUAAAAAUAUGUGCUAACUUGGUAGUUAGUUGGUCUUUCUCGCAAUAAAAAAAAUUGGAAAUAACUAAACUAUCUACCACCAGUUCAUUAAAACAACUAAUGUUAUGACAAAAUGUUGAAAAGGCCUAAAGGUAAGAAUUAGUUCAUUUAAUUUGACAGUUACACAGGAACUCAUUUAAAAUAAGCAGUGGCUUUUCAUUCCAUAAACUGUACAUGAGAAACAAUUGUUUUGGAUAAGGCGGAUAAUGUUAAUGUUUUAUUAACAAAUAAAUGAAAGAAAUUUCCUUUAUGAAGAUUUUAACAUUUUUCUUUGCAUUAUUGAUUCAAAUAUCAAUUAUUUGCAAGGAAAUUCUUAAAACACGUAGAGUCCUUAUUGAUUUAAAUAUCAAUUAUUUGCAAGGAAAUUCUUAAAACACAUAGAGUCCUAUUAAAAGAAAGUGUGCUAUGUAAUGCAGUAGGCAAAUAUUAGAGCACAUAAACAUGCUAAAACAGUGCUAUAAUCUAGUAGUCUCCCCAAAUCGUUAGAAUUAAUGCAGGUAUUAAAAUGAACUGAGAAGUAAAGAUUCAAAUUGAAGAGUGAAGUUUACAACACCCACAACCACAUAUGAUUUCAAGUCUUUAAGAUGAUAAGCACUUAAAGGGAAUUCUGAAGUAUGUGCUAUUUAGGAUUGAAAUUGUUUGGUGCUAUUAUUUACAACAAAGUAAGUAAAAAAGGGAACAUUAGAAUAUAUUUCCUUUUCAUGCUUACACUGUUUCUGACAUGUCUAUGUAUGAAAUAAUAUCUUCCCAAGUAAAACUACUUUGGCUGCACUCUUUUAUUUCAAAUGAUUUUAUCAUUAGGGAAAAAUUUGAAAUCAUGGCGGACAAAUAAUCCCUUAAUGCUCUUCUUGGCUAGCAAGUAAUUUAUCAAAGCAAUCCAAUUUCCAAAUAGCAUACAAACUCAGUAAGUUGCUGAGCCAAUGCAUCUGUUCCUCUCAGUAUUUAGAGCAUGAACAAAUGCCUUUCCUUUGGGCGGGGGGAAAACCUGAGCUUGAAUUCUCUAAAAGGGCAAGUUAGCUUUAGUAACACUAAUAACUAGUAACUCAUAAUUUCUCUCUGAUAAAACUUUAAGAUUAAAAAAAACUCAGGCUUUAUUGAAAAAUAAUUUACAUGCAGUAAUACUGACCCCUUUUAAGUAUACAGUUCAGUGAGUUUUAACAAACAUACAAGUUGUAUAUCUACAACCAAAAUUAAGAUUUGGGAUAUUUUCAAUCACUGCAGAAAAUUCCCGCAUGUUUCUUUGUAGACAAUGCCUCUCUUCCCUCACAGUCCACAGGCAACCAGUGAUAUGUUUUCUGUUUCCACAGUUUUUCUAGAAUGUCAUAUAAAUGAACCAUAUAACAUGUAGUCUAUUGUGCCUGGCUUAUUUUACUUAGCCACUUAGUAUAAUGAGAUUUUGAAAUUCACCCGUGUUGUUGCAUAUAUUGGUAGUUUGUCCAUUUUUGCUGCUUAGCUGUAUUCCAUUGUAUGAAUAUACCACAAUAUUUUUAGCCAUUUUCCUGUUAAUGGAAUUUUGGCUACUGUGAAUAAAACAACUAUUAACAUUUGCUGUGUGAACAUAUGUUUUCAUUCCUCUUGAGUAAAUAUCUAUGAGUGGAAUUGUUGGGUCAUAGGGUAAGUAUAUGUUUAACUUUAUAAAAGUCUGUCACAUUGUUCUCCAAAAUAACCCUAUUGUUCAUAUUCCCAUCCACAACAUAUUAGUGCUCUGGUUGUUCUGUAUUGUCUCCAAUGAUUAAUGUUAUCAAUUCUUUUAAUUUUAACCAUUCUAUUGGCAGUAUAGUGAUAUCUCUUUGUACUUUUGAUUUCUAUUUCCCCUGAUGACUAAUGAUAUUGUGUAUUUUUCCAUGUGUUUAUUGGCCAUCUGUACAUCUUCAUUGAUGGACAUUUGUUCCAACUCUUUGCCUUUCUUUUUACUGAGUUGAAUGUUUUGUUAUUUAUGUAUUCUGCAUGCAAGUUAUCAGGUGCGUGCUUUGCAGUUUUUCUUUUAUCAAUGUGUGGCCUGUAUUUCAUUUUCUUAACAGUUCUUUUGAAGUGCAGACAUUUACAAUUUUGACUAAGUCCAAUUUGUCAAUUUUUUGGCUUAUGGUUUGUGUUUUUGUGUCCUGAGAAAGAUUUUCUUAACCAAAGGUCACAAAGAUUUUCUACAUUUUCGUCAAGAAAUACUUUAGUUUGUCAUAUUACGUAUUUUACUAUGUAUUUGAAACAUUGUCAGAGAAGAAGUAUAAAGGCAUUUCCAGACUGUCAAAAGGUCCAUGGUCCAGAAAUAGUUUAGCUAUGCCAUUUUUAUUCCCAUUUUCCAGGCCUACUACUCCUUAGGUUGUCCUUUACCCUGGGAAGUACAUUACAAUAUCUUUAAUGCUUCCAUUUUGAAUAUUGCAUUAUAACCAGCUUUGCCUUAUCUUAUAUAGUUUAGUUCAAUAAACCUUAAUUGAAUGAGAAUCUCCAUGUCAGAACCUGGAGAUUCAAAGAUGAAUCAGAUGAUUUCUAUCUAUGAAGAAUUCAUAUCCAAUAUUGUAGGUAGAUACAUAAAUAGGCCAUGGUACUAUAAUGUUUAUGUGAUCCAAUAAUCACAUAUGAGAGUGACCUAGAUGAUGUUCUUACCCCUAUCUUAGGUGGUGGUAGAGGUGUGGGCAGAAUAUCAGGAAAUGCUUCCCUCAGGAAUUGAUGUGCAUGAGGAAUCCUGGAGAAUAAGAAGGCAUGAAGUAGAGAUGAAAGAGAAUGUUUCACACAAAGGAAACAUAUGCAAGCAUCAACUCAACUCUAUGCCUACAGUUCUGGGGCAGAAGAACUGCCAAGGGAGAAAUUAUGCAUUGCCUGCCCCCAGUUCCCUCAGGAUACAUUACAUUAAGGAAGAAAUCAUUCUCAAAAUGUGGAAGCCAAAGCAAACUCCCAUUCUUGACUAGAAUAUUCAGCUUGCCAUUUACCAUUCCAUUCUGAGAGGCAAAAGUUCUUUCUCUCAGUCCCUUUUCCCCAGAAACUGUGAGAAGGUGCAGAGUUGUUGGAUGAAGAAGCCCGUUCAUCAAGGGCUCCUCCCUGUUUCCUGUGCUCUUUCUCAACCCAAACUCAGUGUGCCUCCUUGGCCUUAGCAGUUUCCUUCACUCCUGGACUGAUGGGUGGCACAUGAUUGUGCACUUAAAUACCACAGUACAAACGGGAGGAACACCUGGCUAAUAACUCACAGCCCCAAUUUCUCAUUCAGUACCUUAGCCCAUGUAACCCAGACUAGCUAGAGCAGUGAAGGUCCUCUCUCAUCCUUGAUUACAUGCAUCAUUUAUUACAUCCUAAACAGAGAUGAUUACAUUCCAAUUUCAACUGUCCUUAAAACAUUUCUUUAGGCUCACAGAAACAUCAGCAGCAGCUUUUCCUCAGCUAAUUAGAGACUAAUUGACUCUUUAGCACUGUUAUCAGCUGUGACAGAGCCCUUCCUGCCUCCUGUCUGCCAGCGUACUUGGGACCAUGCCUCUGUGAAGGACUUCAAUUUCUCUUUACAAGAAUCAACGUGGAGCAAACUCCAGUUGCCUACUGCCUAGCAUUCUUGCUAAGAUACGUAUGUAAAUAAAAUGUCUUUAUAUACCUGAGAAUUUAUCUAUGUAGUUCAAGAAUUGUCUUCUUUGCUUAGUUAUCCUACCUUUGAAGGUUUCUGCUUCCAAUUGUUGAGGUGAUGUUACAUCUUUCUGAGGAAGAAGAUGAUACCCUUUUUUGUCCUCCGUAAAAAAGCUUUGUGUGGUGUGGGGUGUGUGUGUGUGUGUCUGUGUGAGCAUUUUGAAUUAUGACCACUGCAUUUCAUGACUUCACUUACCUUGAAUUAUUCUUUUCUCUCAGAGGAUGGACUAAUUUAUUUUCUCCAUAGAGGAUCAGUGUGUUAAUUUCCUUCCUUUCCUCCAAAGCAUAUUCUGAAUGCUUUCACUGCUAGGCAUAGGACAAACAGUUAAAAUGAUAUAUUUUCUGCUCCUCCAGGUCAAAUAGAGGGAUGCAAAAGUUUUAAAAUUAAGUGUAAUAAAGUGCUAUCGAUGUUGUCAUAGGCAUCUGUACAGAGUAUAGUUGGGACAUAAUAAAAAGAUAGCGAUUUCCUGUGGAGGCAGGAUCAUAAAUAUUAAAGGACAACAUAGGAAAGUGUUGACAGGAAGAGAGAGGGAAGUUAGCUUUCCUGGAAGGGAGACUAGGGAGAGCAAAGUCCAGAUGGAGGGAACAACUUGAGAUGUUGUGGGAGUCACAGAAAGUCUGGAUAACUUGAAACCUGGGGUUAGAUGGAGUGCAGCAAAAUAUUAUGUUGAUGAAAUAGCCAGGGGAAGCCUCAUGGAGGAUUUGAAUGCCAUGCGAAAAUGUUGAGGGUUUCCUGUAAGAACAUCGGAUGGCCACAGAAGAGUUAUGAGCAGGGUUAGGAUACUGAUGCCAGGAAACUAAAAGGGCAGCUCAGAGGCCCUGAGCUUAGACAGUAGCAGUGGGACUGGAAGAAGAGGGAGUCAAAAGAAAUGAAAAAGGUAGAAUGAAUAUAACAAUGUUUAAGUGAAUUAAAAGGAGAGAGCUUCCUAGGAUGAUUUUUGGUUUUCAGCUGAGGGUUUCCUUCACCAAAAAGAAGUACUAAAAAAAAGGGAAGUUUUGACAGGGAAGUUCCAUUUUAGAUAAUUUCAUUUUGAGGGCUAGUAAAAUGUAUUUGGGGAGCGGCAAUAUUCACCAGGCAUCUGGAUAAGCAGGACUCGAACUCAGGAGAGAGAUCCUAGAAAUUAAUAUCUGGGCCUCAUCAGUAUAUUGGCAGUAUGGGAAGCCAUGGCCAUGCCCCUUGGAAAGAGAAUAGGUUGAAGAAAGCCCAAGGUCAGAGCUCUGAAUGAAGAAGACUAAUAUUUAAAGGAAAAAUAGAGAAGAAUCUGCAAAGAAGGCUGGGAGACAAUAGACAGUGAAUGGAAAGGAAAAACCAUAGGAAUAGUGGUUCUUUGGCUUCCAGAAAGCAACUCAGGUAUCAGGUGUUCCCUCUACCUCCUUGGAUCUUAUGACAUUUCUGUCUUUCCGUCUGUAUUGCCUUAAUCUCUCCUCUCUCAUGAUCUCUUCAUAUAUAGUUGUUAAUUCCCCAUAACAUUGGCUUCACAUGGUCAAACACUGUCUCUGGAGUUUCUUUAUAUACUGUGACCUUUCAGCUUCUAUCCCCAUGUUGUUUCUUCCCUCUCCCUUCUGCCAUUUCCCCUCUCCCCUCUCCUCUCCUCUCUUCUCUUCUUUUGAUGGAAUCUCGCUCAUGGUGCUCCACACCUGUAA